UCCGGUUUGGCACCGGCAGUCUUCCUAGAGUCCCCGCCAUUACGCGCUGGCAACUAAGAACAGGGGUUGCGCUCGUUGCGGGACUUAACCCAACAUCUCACGACACGAGCUGACGACGGCCAUGCAGCACCUGUCACCUGAUUCCCGAAGGCACUCCAGCAUUUCUGCCGGAUUCCAGGGAUGUCAAGCCUCGGUAAGGUUCUUCGCGUAUCGUCGAAUUAAACCCCAUGCUCCACCGCUUGUGCGGGUCCCCGUCAAUUCCUUUGAGUUUUAAGCUUGCGCUCGUACUCCCCAGGCGGCAGGCUUAUCGCGUUAGCUUCUCAGCCCAAGGGGUCGAUACCCCAGACUAAUAGCCUGCAUCGUUUACGGCGUGGACUAC
This 379-nucleotide unclassified non-coding RNA is filed under the name uncultured bacterium. RNAcentral's name for it is "contains 16S-23S intergenic spacer region". The record is from RNAcentral.